GCCCGCUUGGCUCAGUGGUAGAGCGUGUCACUAGUACCAAAUAAUGACAAGGUCAUCAGUUCGAUUCUGAUAGUGGGCA
Non-coding RNA from Staphylotrichum longicolle, 79 nucleotides. The record is from the annotation of a GenBank genome assembly. NCBI's taxonomy places the organism in Eukaryota, Fungi, Ascomycota, Sordariomycetes, Sordariales, Chaetomiaceae.